GAAGUCCAUGACUUUGCAUGUUGCAAAGCAGUAAGAAUGAAUCCAGUGAACUGAUUCCUGUUCCAUAUGGUUAAGUCGGUGCUUUGGGAGUCUGGCACAAAUUAUACCACUGCGUGCAGAGGUUCCAAAAACAGUGGAGGAGAGAAAAAGCCAGAACUGGGAUGAAUCCGUGUUCGGCGAUCAGGCAGUGGGGAGUUCUUGCUGAAACCUGGUUAUUUCGCGUAUCACGCAAUUAAUCGGCAGUGAGGAAUCGACCUAUAACAUCAGCCUAGACUGGGCUAUCCAGAAUACUCUUCCCGAGAUGAAAAUGCUUGCAAAAUUUCUUUGAAGGCAAAAAUGAGAACAGUAGAUGGCAGCAGAAUUCUGCACUGGCCAUUCUUGUGUUCAUCUGACAGUGAUUAAGUGCCGUUAUGGAAAGUAUGCCUGUGAAUUAAAAGGGGCAGACAUUGAAGAUGGGAUUUAUGAAGCCAUGCAGCCUGAUGUGUCUGCAGCGGUGCCAGACCUGGAAGAAGAGCCUGUUUACGUGGAAAUGGCCCUGCACCAAGCACAACCCAAUCAACCUUAUGCUGCGGUGUGGUCCACCUGCAUUUGGUCCUUGGU
Long non-coding RNA from Sphaerodactylus townsendi, 600 nucleotides. RefSeq lists it as uncharacterized. Lineage: Eukaryota; Metazoa; Chordata; Lepidosauria; Squamata; Sphaerodactylidae. The record is from RefSeq and is a predicted model, not a curated record. The transcript is spliced from 4 exons.